CAGAGGGUAGUUUAAUUUAGAAUCUUAGCUUU
This 32-nucleotide transfer RNA is filed under the name Salvelinus malma malma. RNAcentral's name for it is "partial tRNA-Pro". Lineage: Eukaryota; Metazoa; Chordata; Actinopteri; Salmoniformes; Salmonidae. The record is from RNAcentral.